Long non-coding RNA from Papaver somniferum (opium poppy), 2545 nucleotides. RefSeq lists it as uncharacterized. Lineage: Eukaryota; Viridiplantae; Streptophyta; Magnoliopsida; Ranunculales; Papaveraceae. The transcript has 8 exons. The record is from RefSeq and is a predicted model, not a curated record.
UUCUUUACCUCUCAUUCUCUUCUAUCUUCUCCUCUCUGGUUCUCUUCUUCUCUUCUUCUCUGUGAUUCACUCGGUAUUUUUUCUCUAUCAAAGUAACUGUGAAUCAGAAUGAGGUUUUUCUUCCUCUUCUUCUUCAAAUAGAUCCAUCACAAAUGAAAUUCUUUGACCUAUAGUUUUGAGAUUUCUCUCAUCCGAAUUAGUAUGAAUAAAUCUAAGGUUCUCAGAUAGAUUUCUCUACUUCGCGAGUUUCUAGGGUUUCGGAUUUGACAGAUCGUGAAGAGGAACAACGCUUUCCUCGUCAAAGAGUUUGGAAAUAGAAAUCAGAUGGUUCAGUUCUACAACGUUAGCACCUUCAUACAGUGGCAUACAAUCACGAUCUUUUCCACUUUUUGUAUAUACAUCUGAUUAUGGUCCCAUCAAUGACUUCUCUCAAGAAGCACCAUGAUAAGUCAGCAUUUUCUGGUAAAGAUAUCCUUUAUCUUAAUCGGCAUCAAACUGAGGAGUGGAAAUGAUGGAUUUUAUUCCAUAUCUAUUUACUGUGUAGAAGGCCUCGUUUAUUGACAUGCCUAGGAAUGGGUAAAUGUUGCACUCAUCAUGUAUUUGUAGCAUCCUCGGAAAAGGUGGACCUAUCCAGAGAAGUUUAAUUUUUGUACUUUAAAACAUGUCUUAUUUUUGAUGUACCACUACUUCACGGCAACAGAGAUCUAUAAUGCGAUUCAUGUUUUCAUUGCCGCAUAUGUCUGGAGGACCGGAUUUGGGGCUUUCUCCUAUUACUACAUUCAAAAGGAUUUUAGUCUUGGAAGAUUUGCUCAGUUUUGUAUAUAUUACUAGUAUGUAUAUUGAGCAGUAGGAAGUUAUAGUUUUCAUUUUUUCCUUCGUUUCUAACUAAUCCAAGUUUUCUAAUCUGACAUUUUCUAAUGCAGAUGAUGUGGCGGCUUAAUUUCUUUGUGUCAUUUUGCUAUGUUGUUCUUAAUUUCCUCGUGUUUACUUGCAUAAUUUUUGCGACUCUGUUGUUCCCGGGGAAACCACUCGCAGGGGUUUCUAUGUUUAUGACAAUAAGCGCAAGGCAAGGCAUGAUCCUGAAAUUGCAAAAUACAUUGAGAAAGCAAGGAGAAUGUCCGAUGCAAAAGUUGAUCCCAAGUGAUGAAGUUAAUGAAGGUAUCAUACAAGGACAUUAUCGAGAUGAUAUUUUCCCCAGUCGUGGAUGAGGCAUGCCGUGUCUGAUGCAAAAGUUGAUCCCAAGUUAAUGAAGUUAUCAGACAAGGACAUCAUCGAGAUGAUAUUUUUCCCAGUCGUGAAUGAGUCAUGUCGUCUCCUACAUGAAGGAAUUGUAGUUAAGGCAUCAGACCUUGACAUUGCCGCCGUUUCGGGGAUGGGAUUUCCACCAUACAAGUUGUUAUGUAAACUUUACGCUUGAUAGUAGAUAACAGUGGUUGACAUUGUACAAUCUUGCACAAUUCUUUUAUAAUGAUAAAAAUUUGACAUUUCCGCCGUUAUGGGAUGGAUGGGCUUCCCACCAUACUGGUUGUCAGUGAAUCUUACACGACAAUUUGUCUUGGUCAGGGGAGGAAUCAUGUUCUGGGCUGACUCACUCGCAUCCAAAUACAUUUGUUCGAGGUUAGAAGAAUGGACCAAGAUGUAUGGAGAUUUCUUUAAGCCAUAUGCCUACUUGGAUAAACGAGCUUCCAAGGGAGCUAAACUAGUAAUAAAGACAGAAAACAAUCUUUUGUUUUCAUUCUUUUUGAGCGUACAUCAAUUUUUAUUAAUAUCUUCGCUAAUCAAAUACUAUGUAGAGUGCAUCAAUGAUGGAUCAAGCUAUGUCUCGGCUAUAAGAAGGUUAAGCGAUUAUCUUCUUGGUAUUGUUGUAUUAUCCCUGUUGUUGUAGAAAGUUCAGAAAAAUAAAAAGAACCCACAGUAAAAGUUGCACUGAAGAUGAAAGUUAGUUUUAGUAAGAAUUAUUAAGGUUGUAGAACUGGAAUAAUAAUACUCUGUAACCAUCCUUUUAUAUUUCUCAUAGGUCCGUGACUUAUUCGAAAUUUAUGAUUAAACAUGUAUCCUCUUUAACUUAUCUUCAAUUACUGGUAUUUUCCAUGUCAGGAUACAAGGAUGCAGACCCAGUAAAAGAAAAUCUCUCGUUAUUUCAUUUCAGAUCAGGUCUCGAUCGUUAUAUCUGGAUAAUUGAAUGAUAUAUGCAUAUUAUCACCCAAAGGUUGAGAAAAUGGAUGGAAAAACUCGAGGAAUCUGAUAGAAAACUUAACAGUGUCUUGUUGGUGGCUUGAAGUUUGUUGAGGAUCAGUUGUCCGAGCAUUGGGGUUUAUGGUCGCUGCAUCACCAUGUGCAUUAAAAGUAGCUCGUCUGGCUUGUGAAGUUGCAGUCCAUGCUUCUGCAAGUAGGGUAUUGAUCUCAUCUAUGGUUUUUAUUUCGGUUUGAAACAGAGUUUUAUUACUAUUUAUUUGUAGUUUGUCUAUAAGAAUGUAUAGUUUUCAGUUUUUUACAGUGUUGUGUAAUUUUUUCACAUCUGGAACUUGAGUGAUUGUAGUUUUUU